This 1260-nucleotide ribosomal RNA is filed under the name Triticum aestivum (bread wheat). RNAcentral describes it as "partial small subunit ribosomal RNA". The record is from RNAcentral. Lineage: Eukaryota; Viridiplantae; Streptophyta; Magnoliopsida; Poales; Poaceae.
AUGAGGCAGGUGAACCAGUGCAGUUACACAAAGAGGCAAGUGAAACGUUUCUCUUAUGACAAGUCACUCCUUACCUGCUUAGUAGAUAGAUGGAGGCCAGAGACACAUACGUUUCACUUUCCAUGGGGAGAGAUGGCGCCUACUUUACAGGAUGUGUCUUACUUGUUGGGAUUACCUCUGGCCGGUGCUGCCAUAGGUCCCUUAGAGGCAGAAUCUAGGUGGCAAACAGCGAUGCAGACCCAUUUUUUGGCUGCGGUCCCGACUGCUAGGGCCAUAGACAACGAUCCUCAUGGACCUCUUUUUAGAUGGUUGAGCCAGUUUCAGAUUGUCUCGUUAGGAUAUCCCGAUGUUCAGUUGUCGGAGGCACAGAUUGACCGGUCCCUAGAGGCAUAUAUUCUUUGGCUGUUCGGCAAGACGAUGUUUACGGAGAACCACGUGACCACUGUCGAUGCACGACUCAUCGGUAUUGCACGAGAGAUAGCUGACGCACGUUGCCCUGCGGAUAUUCUACAGAGGAGUUUUGGUUCUGCUGUGUUAGCUGCUACGUACAGAGGCCUGUGCAAAGCUUGCUUGUUGAAGUCUAGAAAAUCUGGUGUUGUUGGAUGUCCAUUAUUGUUGCAGCUCUGGUCAUACGAGAGAUUCCCUAUUGGACGACCCUAUGUCUAUGUUGAUAAACCUUUUGGUUUGGAGGACUUAGCUGGGGCUUAUGUGCCUGCUAUCGGCGAUUUACCUACUAUGGGAUCUGUUUGGGCACGACGAGAGAGACAAUUUGCGCAUAGUCAGGUUAGGGGAUGCUACCCGUCCUUCACGGUGCAGUUUGAUAGUUUGCACGAGGAUCAAGUUAUCUGGGAGCCAUACUCGGCUCAGGCUAUAUCAUCGAGGUACCCAGUUGGGAUUUCUGGAUUAUGCACUAGAGAUCGGCACUUUUGGAUGACCAAGGGCAAGUUGGUGUUCGAUGUGACGGUUGAGGAGAUGUCUCUUCAUAGGGUGAUGAGACAGUUCGGUCUAUAUCAAGAGCCUGAGAUUCCAGAUAUUCCACACUUGCCAGACCACGUGCACAAGGACAGUCGCCUAGGAGGAAACAAGUCGAUGGAUUACUGGCUUAAGAGCGUUACCCCUUACGUUGACGAAUGGACUACCGCUGCGACAAAUAUCUGGGGUGAGGUUCAGGCCUAUAACUGGGAAAUGUUCGGGUUGUAUCUGCAGCGUUACCGGCAUACAACGAGGAUCUACUUGGUUCCAUCAGCUGCUCCUGAUUAG